GAUGAACGCUGGCGGCGUGCCUAAUACAUGCAAGUCGAGCGAACAGACGAGGAGCUUGCUCCUCUGACGUUAGCGGCGGACGGGUGAGUAACACGUGGAUAACCUACCUAUAAGACUGGGAUAACUUCGGGAAACCGGAGCUAAUACCGGAUAACAUGUUGAACCGCAUGGUUUAACAGUGAAAGACGGUCUUGCUGUCACUUAUAGAUGGAUCCGCGCCGCAUUAGCUAGUUGGUAAGGUAACGGCUUACCAAGGCAACGAUGCGUAGCCGACCUGAGAGGUUGAUCGGCCACACUGGAACUGAGACACGGUCCAGACUCCUACGGGGGGCAGCAGUAGGGAAUCUUCCGCAAUGGGCGAAAGCCUGACGGAGCAACGCCGCGUGAGUGAAGAAGGUCUUCUGAUCGUAAAACUCUGUUAUUAGGGAAGAACAAAUGUGUAAGUAACUAUGCACGUCUUGACGGUACCUAAUCAGAAAGCCACGGCUAACUACGUG
Molecule: ribosomal RNA, 497 nt
Filed under: uncultured bacterium
Lineage: Bacteria
Description: partial 16S ribosomal RNA
Rfam family: Bacterial small subunit ribosomal RNA
Source: RNAcentral